This 497-nucleotide long non-coding RNA is filed under the name Daucus carota (carrot). Its description in RNAcentral is "long non-coding RNA (DCAR_LNC007069)". The record is from RNAcentral. Lineage: Eukaryota; Viridiplantae; Streptophyta; Magnoliopsida; Apiales; Apiaceae.
CCAGCCCCUGUCCGAGGAGGCUCGGGUUCCUCCCAAGUCCUCAACUCGAAUGGAGGCCCCCAACUCCAAACAUUCCAUUCCCUCCUGCAAUUGAUCCCCCAAACUCAUAGAAUCACUUGCAAGCAAUCAAUCCCCAUCAUCACAGUGUAUACAAGUAUGCAUAUAAUUAAAAUCGCGUACGACAAGUGAAGGAAAAGAGAUAAAGGGAGGUAGUUACAGUGGUGCAAUCGGAACUAUCGCUGGAAGAAGGGUGAAGGCAAUCGGACGGAGGGUUUGUAAGGCGGUGGUGCGAGAGAGAUACAAGGUUCGAGAGGAAACGAGAGAGAUUGAGAGAUUGAAGGGAGAAUAGGAGGUUAACCCUUCUGUUUUCUAUUUUGGGAUCAUAUAUAAAAAAAUUCUUUUGCCCCUUGCUUUAUAUUAAAACAAUUAUAAAAUCCAAGGGUAAACUGGUAAUCUGAUAAUAUGAAUGAUGAAAUCUUGUUGUAAAUAGAAUUUUU